ACAAUGGGUGGCCGGGCAGAGACGCUCCUCACUUCCUAGACAGGAUGACGGCCGGGAAGAGGCUGGAGUGCAGUGGCACCAUCUCGGCUUACCGCAACCUCCGCCUCCUGGGUUCAAACAAUACUCCUACCUUGGCCUCCUGAGUAGCUGGGAUUACAGGAAUCAAGGUUGCUAAGAGACCACCUGUGCUGAAUACACUUUGUUCUGGCAAGAGCAGAAAACUGAGAAGCCGUGUUACCUACCACUACCUGGGAUUAAUUCAGGGAGCGGGAUAAUUCUGGAUAUG
RNAcentral lists this long non-coding RNA (286 nucleotides) under Homo sapiens (human). RNAcentral describes it as "non-protein coding lnc-SLC16A9-1:7". The record is from RNAcentral. Lineage: Eukaryota; Metazoa; Chordata; Mammalia; Primates; Hominidae.